GGUGGUGCAUGGUUGUCGUCAGCUCGUGUCGUGAGAUGUUGGGUUAAGUCCCGCAACGAGCGCAACCCUUAAGCUUAGUUGCCAGCAUUCAGUUGGGCACUCUAAGGUGACUGCCGGUGACAAACCGGAGGAAGGUGGGGAUGACGUCAAAUCAUCAUGCCCCUUAUGACCUGGGCUACACACGUGCUACAAUGGACGGUACAAACGGUUGCCAACCCGCGAGGGGGAGCUAANCCGAUAAAACCGUUCUCAGUUCGGAUUGUAGGCUGCAACUCGCCUACAUGAAGCCGGAAUCGCUAGUAAUCGUGGAUCAGCAUGCCACGGUGAAUACGUUCCCGGGUCUUGUACACACC
RNAcentral lists this ribosomal RNA (353 nucleotides) under uncultured bacterium. RNAcentral's name for it is "bacterial SSU rRNA". It matches the Rfam family "Bacterial small subunit ribosomal RNA", at positions 1037 to 1391 of the family's 1533-position model. The record is from RNAcentral.